AGCCUGGUAGCUCGUCGGGCUCAUAACCCGAAGGUCGUCGGUUCAAAUCCGGCCCCCGCAACCA
Molecule: transfer RNA, 64 nt
Filed under: Yersinia pestis PY-58
Lineage: Bacteria; Pseudomonadati; Pseudomonadota; Gammaproteobacteria; Enterobacterales; Yersiniaceae
Also listed under: 3 other names
Description: partial tRNA-Leu
Rfam family: tRNA
About the family: Transfer RNA (tRNA) molecules are approximately 80 nucleotides in length. Their secondary structure includes four short double-helical elements and three loops (D, anti-codon, and T loops). Further hydrogen bonds mediate the characteristic L-shaped molecular structure. tRNAs have two regions of fundamental functional importance: the anti-codon, which is responsible for specific mRNA codon recognition, and the 3' end, to which the tRNAs corresponding amino acid is attached (by aminoacyl-tRNA synthetases). tRNAs cope with the degeneracy of the genetic code in two manners: having more than one tRNA (with a specific anti-codon) for a particular amino acid; and 'wobble' base-pairing, i.e. permitting non-standard base-pairing at the 3rd anti-codon position.
Source: RNAcentral